ACUUUGGAUAUUUUGAGAAAUACUUUUCUUUGCUGUUGAGUUCUUUCUAGCGUAGGAAAUUCUCUGGCCAAAGUCCUCAUUCUCUAUCUUUCCUUUCACCACCUAGUUCCUUCCAAGAAUGGAAGCCGACUGAACUAGUUUCUUCCCUCUCCGAUCUGCAUCCAUCAAUUCGUUUACAUGAUCCAACCUCCACCGCUGCAUUUGGUUUCUUCACUCUGAUGCUGCAGACGCACUCUGUGCCAUUCAAUGUAUGAGAUGCAAGCUCUAUCAGGAAGCUCAG
Molecule: long non-coding RNA, 280 nt
Filed under: Vigna radiata
Lineage: Eukaryota; Viridiplantae; Streptophyta; Magnoliopsida; Fabales; Fabaceae
Description: long non-coding RNA (VRAD_LNC016723)
Source: RNAcentral